This 216-nucleotide ribosomal RNA is filed under the name uncultured bacterium. RNAcentral's name for it is "partial 16S ribosomal RNA". It matches the Rfam family "Bacterial small subunit ribosomal RNA", at positions 133 to 334 of the family's 1533-position model. The record is from RNAcentral.
UAACUCGGGGAUAACAUUGCGAAAGCGAUGCUAAUACCGGAUGACAUCAUGAAACCUUGGUUUUUAUGAUCAAAGGUGGCCUCUACAUGUAAGCUUCCGAUUAGAGAUGAGCCCGCGUACCAUUAGCUUGUUGGUGGGGUAACGGCCUACCAAGGCUGCGAUGGUUAGCUGGUCUGAGAGGAUGAUCAGCCACACUGGAACUGACACACGGUCCAG